UCACCAUCUUCGUCAGAGCGCUGA
RNAcentral lists this non-coding RNA (24 nucleotides) under Arabidopsis thaliana (thale cress). Lineage: Eukaryota; Viridiplantae; Streptophyta; Magnoliopsida; Brassicales; Brassicaceae. The record is from RNAcentral.